RNAcentral lists this transfer RNA (67 nucleotides) under Ascalohybris subjacens. RNAcentral describes it as "tRNA-Ser". It matches the Rfam family "tRNA". From Rfam's summary of the family: Transfer RNA (tRNA) molecules are approximately 80 nucleotides in length. Their secondary structure includes four short double-helical elements and three loops (D, anti-codon, and T loops). Further hydrogen bonds mediate the characteristic L-shaped molecular structure. tRNAs have two regions of fundamental functional importance: the anti-codon, which is responsible for specific mRNA codon recognition, and the 3' end, to which the tRNAs corresponding amino acid is attached (by aminoacyl-tRNA synthetases). tRNAs cope with the degeneracy of the genetic code in two manners: having more than one tRNA (with a specific anti-codon) for a particular amino acid; and 'wobble' base-pairing, i.e. permitting non-standard base-pairing at the 3rd anti-codon position. Lineage: Eukaryota; Metazoa; Arthropoda; Insecta; Neuroptera; Myrmeleontidae. The record is from RNAcentral.
AAUUAAUGAGCUUGAAUAAGCGUAUGUUUUGAAAACAUAAGAUAGAAGUUUAACCUUCUAUUAAUUU